CCCAGACUCCUACGGGAGGCAGCAGUGGGGAAUAUUGCACAAUGGGGGGAACCCUGAUGCAGCGACGCCGCGUGAGUGAAGAAGUAUUUCGGUAUGUAAAGCUCUAUCAGCAGGGAAGAAGAGAGACGGUACCUGACUAAGAAGCCCCGGCUAACUACGUGCCAGCAGCCGCGGUAAUACGUAGGGGGCGAGCGUUAUCCGGAUUUACUGGGUGUAAAGGGAGCGUAGACGGUUUUUCAAGUCUGAAGUGAAAGCCCGCGGCUCAACUGCGGAACGGCUUUGGAAACUGAGUAACUGGAGUGCUGGAGGGGCAGGCGGAAUUCCUGGUGUAGCGGUGAAAUGCGUAGAUAUCAGGAGGAACACCAGUGGCGAAGGCGGCUUACUGGACAGUAACUGACGUUGAGGCUCGAAAGCGUGGGGAGCAAACAGGAUUAGAUACCCUUGUA
Molecule: ribosomal RNA, 446 nt
Filed under: uncultured bacterium
Lineage: Bacteria
Description: bacterial SSU rRNA
Rfam family: Bacterial small subunit ribosomal RNA
Source: RNAcentral